CCUACGGGUGGCAGCAGUGAGGAAUAUUGGUCAAUGGGCGGAAGCCUGAACCAGCCAAGUAGCGUGCGGGAUGAAUGCCCUACGGGUUGUCAACCGCUUUUGCACGGGGAUAACACCCUCCACUUGUGGAGGUCUGCAGGUACCGUGCGACUAAGGGCCGGCUAAUUCCGUUGCCGCAGCCGCGGUAAUACGGAAGGCCCGAGAGUUAUCCGGAUUCAUUGGGCUUAAAGGGAGCGUAGGCGGGCGUUCAAGUCAGCUGUAAAAGCGCGCGGCUCAACCGCGCUCCGCAGUUGAAACUGGACGCCUUGAGUGCACAACAGGCAGGCGGAAUUCGUGGUGUAGCGGUGAAAUGCAGAGAUAUCACGAAGAACCCAGAUUGCGAAGGCAGCCUGCCGGGGUGCGACUGACGCUGAGGCUCGAAGGUGCGGGUAUCAAACAGGAUUAGAUACCCGUGUAGUC
RNAcentral lists this ribosomal RNA (459 nucleotides) under uncultured bacterium. RNAcentral describes it as "partial 16S ribosomal RNA". It matches the Rfam family "Bacterial small subunit ribosomal RNA", at positions 338 to 795 of the family's 1533-position model. The record is from RNAcentral.